GGGCGGGGCGAGGGGCGGGCCGGGUCCCAGUGCAGCAGAGCCGGUGGACCGCAGGCGCUGCGGGCUCAGCUCCCAUGCGGGCGCAGCUCUGGUUGGAGGCUGGGACACGGCUCUGGCAGUGGCUUCUGGAUGGAGCGAUGACUGGACGGUGAGUGAUGCCCGGGCAGGAGUGUUAGUGGGCGUCCAUGGAGCACCACACCCCCGAGCCCCGGGCUGUCACCCGGCAGAUGCGCUGGAGCCUGGGCACUUGUGCCCUUUGACCGUUGCGCGCGGAGUCUCCUCCCACUGCCAGCCUGGCGCAUUGCGGGCUUCGGGCCCAAAGCUUUCAAUGGGCACUGUGCCUGGCACCUCCUUCAAGAGGAAGUCACUUUAGGAGCUAAGAUAUUAGCAUGAUAGGUGAGUGCGGUCUCAGGCUUCACCUGUGCCCACCUCAACCCUCACCUCAGUCAGUCUCCUAGAAGAAUAGAUCCUAGAGUUGGGAAGAGAGCUUCAGAGCACUUUUGCACAACUCUCUGAUUUCACAGAUGGAAAACCGAGACCAAAAUAUAGGCAGAAAGAGGGGCUUGUCUCACAAUCGCUAUUUGUGGAGGGUUCGCCUUCUACUAGACUCUGUGUUAAGGGUUUCAACACAAUAUACCGCACACUCUGCGGCACUGUGAUAUUGACACUUUCAUUAUCCCCAUUUUCAGAUGAAAAACUGAGGCUUAAAGAAUUACAGAAGUGUCUACCCUUACUCAGAAGAGCCAGUGGUAGAGCAGGAAUUUAAACUCAGGGCUGGCUGUGCCUUCAGGCCUCCUUCACCCCACCCCCUGGCUUUGAAGCUUAUACAACCUGCUUCCCUGCUCUUCCUGUGUCUGAACCUACAUUGUUGAAGGAUGCCUUAAUGUUAUCAUGAGUCUGGCAUAACCCUGACAAGGGAGGCCUCCUCUCAUACCAGGCCAGUGCCAGGCCAGCCAGCACUUUAUUAAAACUCAGUAAGCAGAGAUUUAGAAACCCUAUUUCACAUGGGAAUUAAAUGAGGUCAUGCAGCAAAUGAGGCCUGGGAUUCUGGAAUUCAAACCCAAACAGGUUAGACUCCAAAGUUUGCCACCACAGUGGCAGAAGGGACCCUCACUGUCUUCACUAUACUUAGCUGUGUCAAUCAAAAUCUGUUGUCAGAAAUGAUGAAAACAAAAAAAUAAAAACUGAAAGUGAAUACUGUAACCAACAGGUAAAUGCAAGUCUGCAGACCUCCUGAUCCUCUGUGUAGUUCCUGGGCUACUGUCACUGGGACUGGAGGUUCUAGGGAAAAGAAAGGAGUAUGCAGAGGAGAGAGGGAGAGAAGAGAAGAUGAAAUGCAUUGCAAAUAGGUGAAAAAGUUGCUGGCUGUAAGUUGUAAUGGGGUGCAUUUCACCACUUUGUCAGUGUAUGAUCAGUUUGUCUUUAUUAGUUCUAGUCAUAAUUCUGUGUGUAGUGUGGUGUUUCCAGACUUGUCAUUGAAAGUAAGGUUGAUGCACAGAUUAAAGUGUCCAUCUGAACCCCAGGAGCCUCUAGUGGUGGGGGGACCUGGAGGUAGAGAACAGAAUUAAGGUUCAGUAUCACCUUGGGUCAGGGCCACCUGGAUCAUGGCAGAUAAAAAGCAUGAACAGAACUUGGGUGUGUGUCAUUUUAUUAAUGCAAAGCCUCAGAUGGCCUCUGUGAGGCCAUCUGAGGCUUUGCAGCCCUGGGGAUCUGAUUCUGGUUUCAUGAGUACACUCAGUCUUUUUCCUCACUCAUAGUCACUUCUGCAAGAAGAUAACUCUCAUCCUCUUUGAAUUUUACAUUCCCAUUUCCAGAGCCUUAUUGUUUCUCUGGAGCCCCUAGAACUCCUGACUCCCAAUGUCAACAGUGAUGUUAAUGGGAGCUUCUGUUUAUUAUAGAUGAGUCCAUACUAUGCCCAUCUGAAAGGUCUCAUUUGCCUUCAUAAAAUUCAUCUAGAAUUAUAAUUAUUUGAUAAAUGAGAAACCAGAGAGGUUCAGAGGGGGAAGGGAACUUGCCAGGGGUCAUACAGCCAGAGAAACACAGAACAGAGCUUUGAGCUCAGCGCAUUACAAAGGUUGAGAGGUUAUCUUCUCACAGAGUACACUGAAGAAAAUAUUUUGAAAUUGUUUUAAAGUAAAUUAACAUCAAGUAGGAAGUGGGUGCACUUCCCAAAAUGUCUGUAGUUUUCUCAUUUCUGCUAAAGGGGAACUUCGAGUUUCCUAGGUCUCCUUUUCUGUGUCCAGCCUCCUUCCCCAGCAUAUACAACUGAUGGAAAUCUCUUAAACUCCCUCUCCUUGACUUGCCUGGCCUUGGAGAACACAGAUGCGAUGUCACAGAGCCCAGGAAUACACUGCUUGGAAGAGUCCUGAAGACAUUCUAGUCCAGCUACCACUAAACUCUGGCAAGAUCCAGGCCCCAGAGAUGCACUGCCUACUGAGGUCAUAUACCAAGGUUGAUGCCACUGCAAAACAUACCCAUCUCUCUGAUGCUCCUCUGCCUCCUCUUUUUCUUGCUGUGACACAUUUCAGUACAGAUUCUCAGCCUGGGAUCUAGGGACUCUAGGGAUACAUGAAAGCAGUCUCCCUGGCCCUUCUUCAAUAGUGUGCAAGUUUAGUGUAUAUGUGUGCACACGUACACUCAUGCAGUUUUCUGAGGAGAGUGUGGUAAGUUUUCAAGAGACUCAUAAGGACUCCAUGAGCCAAAAAAUUCUGAGAUCCACUGUGCCUCCCAGGGAACCAUUCCCAGCAGCUUCCUGUGGUACACAGCCUGGGGCAGAGGUAGCACGGGUAGGACAGCUAUGGAGAUUGCCCAGGGCAGCCAGGCUGCAAGCACUUGUUGGCAAGAGCUUAGAGGGUCUGCCCUUCUGCUAUGCACCCCUGGCCCCAGACAGUUGGGAUGUUGUCUAGCUACCAUACUAAGUACCUUAAUACUAAGCUAUUUCUGGGAGGAUCUUUCUUUCCACAGAUCCCCUGUUCUAUAGACAGGAGGUAAACCUUAUUUGUGGUGGCGGACACAGAGCCAGGGAAUUUGGGUAUAAAGUAUUAAGAAGGGACAGUAAGAUUGGAAAUGGCUUUCUUAUUCCAGAUUGCUGUGACUUGCAAACAAGGGCAGAAAACAGAACCGAGCCCUGGGAGUCUGGGGGAGGGCCAUCAGGAAGCAUUAGGAGGAUGGCCAGUCUGCUGUAUGCAUGGGGGACAAAAAUCAGGCUCUUCAGAGAAAGGGGAGGUCCAGGAAUCUGAAUGGGCUCAGGGAAACCCUUCAGGGGAAGCCUAGGACUGUGGAGGGUUAGGGAUCCAAUAGAGAAGAGCUGGUUUGGUCAGCCCAGAGUGGAGGGAGCAAUGGCUGCGUCUGCCUCUCCUGCACUUCCCAGGCUUCUGUCACUUCCAUCGGACUGUGUGCUGCAUCCUCUAGCGCUUCCCAGCUGGCGCAACUGGAGCUGGGUCAGGAGGCUGAACCAGAGGUGGGUGAUGGUAGGGGUGGAGAGAAAGGGAGGGGGGACAUUGAAACUGAACAGCAGGAGAGAACAGCAGCUGCACAGUCACUGCCCGCUGUCCACACUUGAACAGCUGACUUUUUUUAGCAAAAUCUGUUGCUAAGGGGCAGCCUGCUGUCCAGCCAGACCCCCUUAGAGGCAGCUGGCUUCUUCCCGUGGCCAACCUCCUGCCAUUUGCUGGCUAACAGGUGCAGGGAGGACCCUUUUAAAGAUUCAUUGUUUUCAGGGCCUCCCUGCUGCCCUGGAUGAUGUUUGAAAGUUGUGGCCAGGGCUGCAGAGGAGCAGAGGACUCAGGCUUCCCAGGAAUGCAGGGUAGAACAGCCUGCACCCAGUUGUGCCCCACCAUCUGGCCUCCUUUCCUGUGCUUCCCAGGUCACUUUCUUUAUUACCUGUUUGAUUUUAAUCAUGCUCAAGUGAGAAAAUAAGAGCCAUGAUGUCAUAAAAUGUUAGAACAGAGGUAACCAAGAUUUAAACAGGUAAUCAAGAGGUAAUCCACUUAGAUUUCACUGGUGCUAGCUUUGAAUCUUUUAAUUUGGAUGUAUUAUCCAUAUUGCCAAGAGAGGAUCCCAACACCUAUGCAAAGAAGGCAGUACAUAAUCUUACUGUAAGAGGCUUUCAAGUGCACACAGUUUAGUUUCCUGAAAAUCCUACUUCAUUUGGCUCCUUUUUCUUCUUUUACAAUUGACCUGUAGAAAUUGGGCCCCAAUGUUUCCCUGAAGAACCAUAGGGUCACCUUCUUCUGUAAUAACUAGCCCCAAGACUUCAAAAAAAGAAAAGAGGGCCCAGGCUCCGUAGUUGUAAAGGCCUCCCUGGCCUUUGUCCCUCCAUAGCAGGCUGUCUCUGCACGGCUGGCAGAGCAGCCGCUGAAGUGGAAAGUGAAAACAACUCACUGCUUGUUCACUGAGGACAGGUAGCCUGGCUGGCACACCCGUGCCCCUGGGGGCCUCUCCUCUGAGGAGCCUGGGAAGCAAGCUUGGAGGCCUGAGUUGUGUGCCCUGGGGCCUGGGGCCAGGGAGCAAGCCAGGACAAAGAAGGCUGCUGGGGGGAGGGGAGGCGCCCUCAGGCAGGCCAACUAGGCCUGUCCAGCUGCAUCUGUCACUCUGUGUUUUGCAGACUGUGCCUGGGUGGCAGGCCAGCCUUAGCCUCAUCCUUUCUGGGCUCAGGCUUCUGCUCGCACCUAAGCAUCCUCUCUUGAAUCAACUUGUACUUUCAUUGGGCUUCUGCCUUUUCAAGAUUGUGCUGUUAUAGAGAUUGAAAAAACAGUUUUUCAGAGAUAUUCAGAGGCCUUGCCCAGGGCACAAGGAGAUUCAAUGCAUGGAAGGCAGUCUAAGGAAAAUGUUCCAAAUGGAGAAACAUCCCCCUUCCUCUCCUGCUGGGUGUUACCUUCUUUCCCACAGUUCUCAUUCAAUGUCAUUUCUUGACAUUUCUUGACUGUGUCUUAGAUACUAUUUGAAACUCACCAAGACCCAGAGUGAGAGAAUGAAUGAAAAUCAGCUCCACCCUCGAUCUGGUAAAGCAGUAAACACAGUGUUUUCAUUUGAGUAGAAUUCUGCCAGCCAUUCCAGAGAGAGAGAGACUCAGGAGCUCAGGGAGAUAGGUAGUGUUGCAUGCUUGGGAUGGAGGCAUCUGAGAGCCAGAGAGACCAAGUGACUAAUGUAAAGGCCAUGUAACUGAUUAAAGUCAGAGGAUACAAAUACAUGUAUGGUUCUCUUAAAAGAGAGACUCCUUUUCUGUGGGACUAGAAUUCCUGUCCCAUAAGGUGCAUGGCCCAAUCCAGCAAACAGAAAGAGCCCUGUUACUAAAGCGGGCCCCAUCACACCUCCCAACCUUGCUCACUAUCCUCUCUGCCCUCCCAUGGGAUGGUGUCCCACCCUCUAUCCCUGCCAAGCUUGCCUGUUUAUCUUAUAAGCCCAUCUUUCCCUUUCUCCCUUCACUUUGCUAUCUGCAGUCUAGGGCCCUCUUUAACUUUCCUCCUGAUUCUUUCUCUGUGCAGUGGAUGUCACCCCACCUCAGCUAGAGACUGAGCACACUGGCCACGUCCUUACAUAAACAGGCCCUCAGAGGCAAAGUACUCCUAAAUGCUAGCCAAGGAGGCCAGUGCUAUCCAAAAAGGAAAUCUUGGUGCUCUAGUGGAUGGGGCUACAUGACACACACCUUACUGUCAACCAAAGCAGCUCCUUUUAGUAUGACUUGCAUAAAUUUUUCAUUUGAACAAAAAUUCUACAAUUAAGAAUAUGUCAAACAUAUUGGAGGUCAAUAUUCUUUAUGGUACAGAUGGGAAAAUUGAGUCUCUGAAAAAAAAGCAUGCAUAAGGUCUUAGCAGCUCCCAGCCCAAAGCUUUUUAGGAAAUAACUUCUAUUAAUAAGAAACCACCAUCUGACUUACAGGGAAAUUUUAUUUUUGGGUGUUUCUACUACAUACAGCAAAAUGCUGUGGAAAAUCAAAGUAUUGUAGAGUUUUGUCAUGAGUUAGAAGACGAAAAACUAGAGCCCCACUAAAUGCAUCUGUCUCAAAAGUGUGUUAGGUCUGACUAUAUUCCUUUUGAAAUAUAUUUAAAUAUAAAAUAUUAAGUUAAAUGUAUAUACCAUUUUAAAUUUACUGCAUUAGUAAGGCUAGGGUGGGUUAUGGUGCAAUAACAAAUCUCUGAAAUACCAGAGGCCUAUCACAGAGAUUUAUUUCUCUUUCCCAUUGUAUAUCUGAUGUGGAUCAGCAGAAGGCUGUGAUUCAGAGUCACUCAGGGACAAGGGCUUACUAUUGAGUAACUGUGCCAAUUAGAACAAGUGGCUUUCUCAGUAAUCACGUUAGGAGACAGGUGUUGGUUCUUAAAUGCAUUGGCCUGGAAGUAUCCAUAACACUUCUGUUUGUAGCCCAUGGGCCAGAGUUCAUCACAUGACCCCAUUGAACUGCAGGGUCUGGGGAGGGUUAGCAAUCACAUGGUCCUUUCAAGAGCAGUAAAUACCUACAAUCACUUGACUUUAAACAGUGGAAUAUAACCCUAACAAUCCUGAUUUCUGGCUUCCUAUCAAACCAGAUGAUCUAUACCUUUGAAGGAGUAAUAUGUCCCCAAUUUCCCACAGAUUGUGUGUUUCUCAACUAAGUCCCCAGAUGCUGUUUUGUUAUCCUGGUAUGUAUGCCCAACUCUGGAGGAGCUGACUUAAUGGGGAGUUUGUGGAUCUUCUUGUAGUAAUUCAGUCAUUCAACAACCAUUCAGCCUCUGUUGAUGUGCCAGGCUGUGGGGCUGGAAACCAGUAGUAAAGUAGAAAAGCAUUGCUACCACCUCACCAUGCUCCUGUGCUUCUGUGAGUUUUGGAACAAAAGGUGUGGCCUUCAGGGCCCAGCAGGGUGGGAAGUCAAGAGGAGGUACCUGGGCAAAGAGGUGCUGCACCUAUCCUGACAGAGGGCUGUUUGGGCAAGGGUUUCUUAGAGAGCUAGCAUCAGAAUAUUGGAGGAGCAGCAGGCUAUGUUCUGAUUAGAAACUGUAAAUGUACUAAAGGAGGAAAAAGCUUGGCACCCACUGUGAGCUGCAAUCAACCCAGCAAACCUGAGGCUCAGAAUAGGAAGUGGGAUUGAGGCUGGAUAUAGAGGAAGACAAGAGAAAAACCCACCUGCAGUUGUUUCUUUGUAAAUCCAGCCCUUCCUACAAUAAGCUUUCUUAAAAAUGUGGCUGUACCUUGUACACACAGAAAGUGUCAACUCAGAAGCCCAGACUCAGGGCAGCUCCUGCCCCACAAGUGUUUGAGGAACUACCCAAACAUGCAGCUGGCAAAUCACUUUUUCCACUGGCAAGCUGAGGAGUUGAGGAACUGAAACCCUAUUUUGAAACCUCUGCUGCCUGACCAAGAAGAAUGCAGCAGCGUGUCCCCAGCUCCAGGUCUCAGUGGUGCCGUUCCACUGUGUCCUUGAGUAGGUGGGAGGGUCUGCCUUACUUUAGAGCAAGGCAAAGGGAGUGUUAACUGGAUGACGCUGAGGUCACUGAAAAGCUCACCUCCCUCAAAUCAUUUCCCUUCUCCAUGCUAAUUGUAUUUUCUCUGCUUCUGCAAUCAAAUAUUCAUUCCCAACACAGAGGAUGGGUUCAUGAUAUUUGUGAGAGCAAGGAGGAAGAGAACUUGCUGGACGGUCAAUAUCAGUGUCAGAGGGGACAGAAUAUUCUGCAGUGACAGGCCCUGAAAUCAUUAGUAAAUAUAACAGAAGUUGGGCCUGACCUUGACUCCCAGUAACAUUUGCACACACACAGUUCAGCUUGAUAGGCUGUAAUGGAUUCAUCUGAACAAAUGUUGGGGGUUUGUGAAUAAGCUGAUCUCUGUGGUGGAAGGACAUAGAAUGCACCCUGGCUGUGUUACCUUCCAGUGUCACUCUACCCCUUUAACCCCUAAAUGCAACUGGGAAAGUAUGAAGAGAGAAAAACUUUAGCUCAUUGCCCAGCAUGUAGGAAGCCUUGAUAAGAGAGGAUCCUCAGCCAGAAUGUAAUCCUCAUCUGUAGUUUUGUUUUCUGUGAUUUUUGUUACCCAGGGUCAAUCUUAGUUGAAAAUACUGUGGAAAAAAAAUGCAAAAAGGAAGCAACACUAUUCUGAGUAGCAUGAUUAAAUCUCAUCAUCCCACUUCUUCCCACACAGACAUGAGCCAUCCCUUUGUCCAGUCUAUCCACACUGUGUACACUACCUGACCAUUAGUCACUUAGUAGUUGUCUCUGUUUUCAGAUCAGCUGUCAUGGAAUCACAGUGAUUGUGUUCAAGUGACCUUUAUUUUAUUUUAUUGCAUGGUACCCAAAUGCAAGAGUAGUGAUAAUGGCAAUUCAGAUAUGCUAAAGAGAAUCCUUAUAGUACUUUCUUUAAAUGAAAAAAGUUCUUGACUUGAUAAGGAAUAAAAAUAAUACUAUACAAUGUUGCAAGGAUCUAUAGUAAGAAUGUAUCUUCUCUUCAUGAAAUUGUGGAGAAGGGAGAAGAAAUUCAUCUGGCUUUUUUUUUUUUCCUUUUUUCUUUAUUACACCUAAAACUAUAUAAGUUAGGCCACAGCCUUGACUAAGUGCUUAGUCAAGCUGGAAAAGGGAUUAGAUUACAGUAUUCAAUACUAUCACAGGUUUCAGGAAUCCCCUGGGGAUUUUGGAAUGUAUCCUGUAUAUGUAAAAGGGGUGUGUGUUAUUAUAAGGGGAGACAGAGAAGUAGGAAUCUGGGCAACAUACCAGCAAGAUAGAGAAGACUCUCCUGAUUUACCCUCCGUGAGAGAAAACCAGGCUGGGCUUGAGAAGCCCUUUAAACCUUUUACAGUAUGGAAAGGCACACAGAUAGCUUCACAUGAUAAUCCACUACUCAUCCUGAAGGCUAGAUAUGAGCCUGCUGCACAAAGGAGAAAAGGAAGCUGAUGGUGGGGGAAUGCUAAAUCCCUGCCCAAAAGCAAUAUAGAGAAGAGGUUGAGACAAGAAUCAGAGGUUCAAAUGCUUGUGUUCAGUAGUGACUUCUUGUUUGCCAGGUGAUCUUAGGCAGCAUGCUUCACCUCUGUCCCUGCUUUCUUAUCUAUAAAAUGGGAAUAUGUGAUCCCUACUUCAUAAUGUUGUUGUAGGACUAGGUGAUUCAUAGAAAAUGCACAACAGUGUCCAGCAUGCUGUGAGCACUGUACUGAGUAACCCUGGACUUGGAACAGGCCCAGGGGAACUGACUCCCAAGGCAGUGCUAGGGCCACUCUCCCAGCUUAGUGGGAAGGGAAGAGAGAUCCAGGGUGGCUUUGAGGACUUGGGGAGCAGCCAAGACUGAAGCCAUCAUUCAGGGUGUUGCCACAAGGAAAGAGAGCCACAUGGCCUGAAAUGGUGAGAAAACUGUUCCAAAUUCCUAAAGAUCAUGGAGUUUUUCAGAGUGGGGGACCCCAUCCUCUGGGCCUGAUUCUUUCAACUAUAGUCACCCUACACUUGAACAGCUAUGAAGCCAAGGUUACAGGCCUCAGUGCUGGGGCCCCAGGUGCUAAAAUAUACCAGGUAGAACUCUUCCUGGCUCACCUGUCUGUGAACCCUCCCUCAUCUUUCCUCCAGGUAACUUCCAGGUCUGCAGACAAGAGAAGAUGAAGGAAGAGUGUCCAUCCAGCUCUCACGUGCCCAUCAGUGACAGCAAGUCUAUCCUUAAGUAAGCUUUGGUGUGUGGUAAAAGAGAUUUUGCAUCUCCUUUUGGCACCUCCCUGCAUGGCAGCCAUGUGGAGGGAUGGGGGACUUUUUCAGAGAUAGAAUAUGUGCCCUAGGGACAAUGGUG
Molecule: long non-coding RNA, 9726 nt
Filed under: Marmota monax (woodchuck)
Lineage: Eukaryota; Metazoa; Chordata; Mammalia; Rodentia; Sciuridae
Source: RNAcentral